CGCCUAAAAUAUCAGCUGGCCUGGGUAUGCGAAUAAUGCGAUAAAUCUGGAAAACGUAAAUCAGAUCGUCAGAUGUUCUGACUGAGCAUGCACACCGGCUACAGCAGAGCAGAGAAAUGCCCUCCAAACUCUUGGGGCCACAGCCAGGAGAAGGUUAAAGGAUACAGCUUCUAGAUGGACAGAAAUGCCAACAAGCUACAGCCAGAACAGACCUGUGAGCAGACGAAAAGGCAGUAGGACCAAUGGCUCGACCUGCCCUCAAGGUGUCAGACGUGGGAUGUCAGUGCAUCUGUCUCCAGGCAUCAGAGUGGCACCAUCACUGUGCAAAGAGGAAAAGCAGGCAAGGAGUUGUGUUUCCAAACCCGGGUGCCCCUGACCCAGGCAGGGAAUUUCCAACUCUAAAUCUGGCCCACCUGGGGAGAGUAAGGAACCUUCCAAGAAGGGAAGGGUAGAGAUUUCAUGUCAGGGCCUGACCCACUGAAAGUGGCGGGUUCUUGGGAACUUGGAACACAAGAGGGGAUGGGUGUAGGAUUUUCCACCUGGCCCAUUCCCUACACUUGAUGUCCCAGCCAUGGUCAGAUGAGGGAUGGCUAUGAAUGCUCAUGGAUCUUAGACACUGUUAGAGCUUUCCAAAUCAGGCUAAAGGUUCUUCUAGGGAGCCUGGAGAUGUGAAGAACCUCAAGGACCUGGAGCACAAGGACCCAAGAGAAAGCAGGGAAGCAGGACACAGUGGGGGCUUCAUAGUGUAGAAAUGCCACAGGACAAGAGUGACUCACACUACCUGAAAAUAAACUGCGGAAUGAGUUGAU
Long non-coding RNA from Nannospalax galili (Upper Galilee mountains blind mole rat), 809 nucleotides. RefSeq lists it as uncharacterized. NCBI's taxonomy places the organism in Eukaryota, Metazoa, Chordata, Mammalia, Rodentia, Spalacidae. The transcript is spliced from 3 exons. The record is from RefSeq and is a predicted model, not a curated record.